AUGGCUUGUCGGAACUCUUUGCAGAGUCUCAUACGUGUGAAUAACAUGCCAUCGCGCUUCUGUACGUGGGACCUUCGGAAGCUUUUGGAACCAUUCGGACCAUUGCUGAUGUGCCACGUUCCAAUGGGCAGUUCUGAAGUGCGCAGAGGCUUCGGCUAUGUGGUAUUCGAGCACCGUGCGCAUGCUGAGGAAGCCAUUGAUGUGCUCAAUUGCUGCGUCUUUGGUGGCCGUAAGCUCCGAGUCGACCGGGCCUAUCCUUGCGCGUAG
Molecule: ribosomal RNA, 267 nt
Filed under: Triticum aestivum (bread wheat)
Lineage: Eukaryota; Viridiplantae; Streptophyta; Magnoliopsida; Poales; Poaceae
Description: partial small subunit ribosomal RNA
Source: RNAcentral